UGGUGUCCUUUGGUCUGGUUCAACCCGCAUGAUCGGAGUUCAAACCGGAAAUAGAAAAUAUUCAUCAACGGAGGCAUUAACGUGAGUGUCCUAAGGUAGCGCGAUAAUUUGCCCUUUAAUUGGGGGAUGGGAUGAAUGGGUUUACGUGGGAGAUUCUGUGUCACAGGAUUAAGUUGAAAUUAUUUAUAAAGUGAAGAAACUUUAAUAAGGCAGAAAGACGACAAGACCCUAUGAAGCUUAAUUGAUAUAACUUUCUAAAACGAUGGUUUAAUAUUUCAAUGGGGCAUUAUAGAAUGGAGAUAUUCUAAUAUUCUGAUAGUCCUACUGGAUUUAACUGUGUUCAUAUAAUGAAAGCUUCUCUAGGGAUAACAGCGAAAUCUUUUUCGAUAGAUGACACUAGAAAAAAAGAUUAUUGACCUCGAUGUUGGCUUUAGGUAACCCUUGGGUUGAAUCAAGUUCAAGUGUGUGGGUUUGUUCAACCUUCAAUUUCCUAAC
Molecule: ribosomal RNA, 495 nt
Filed under: Perna viridis (Asian green mussel)
Lineage: Eukaryota; Metazoa; Mollusca; Bivalvia; Mytilida; Mytilidae
Description: partial 16S ribosomal RNA
Rfam family: Bacterial large subunit ribosomal RNA
Source: RNAcentral